AAAACAUCGAAUCUCAAUUGGUCUUUUCCUGUAGUCGUCAUCUGCAUUGAUCCAGCCCCCUUUCUGGUGUUUGGACAAUAUAUAAACGGACAGAAUUUCAUCUCUCGCUGAGCUACCUAGUAACAUCCUAAUAACCAUUACGUGGACCUCAGAUGGGGAGGGUUUACAGCUGAGAUUGACGUGUGUUUCAAUGGCAGCCGGAAAGAGAGAAAGCGGGGCGACAAGACGAGCACACAGCCCAAUAGAAACGGUACUAAGGAGUCACCUGUUGAUCCGUAGGCUUUAUGAUGGUAAGUCAGACGUCCUCUAUUUCACUUUCACAUGUUAGACAGGUAAACAUUUUUUUAACUUGUUGUAAAGACGUUGCCAUUGUAGAGAGAAUUGUAGAGGCAAUAUAUUGUGUUGUUUACACAAUUAUGGUUGAAGAGAUCCAGGACGUGCCCGAAAGAAGAAAACGGGAGAGAGCUUUCUCCGCCUGUGAUCUGCCAGCCUCUCUACAAACCAUGGUUGCCAACAUUUACUGUCAUCCUUUCUUCCCCCAACCUUCCCUUCCCACCCCCCAACCUUCCCUUCUCUUCCCUUACUAAAUUGUCACCACCACCCCACCCUCCUCUCCCAGUUGCUCCCAGUCCUGUUGCAUAGCUACCUGCUCUGCCCAUGAAACACACUGGAGAUGGAAGACAAUGAUUAUAGCUGUGAGCAUGCACACUAUCCAGAUGAUAAAAUCAAGCCAAAAGCAAAUAAAAAUGGGAUUUAUCUCCUUGUGGAAGUUCAGUCUUUGACUGUCGUCUGUUUUCCUUAGUGGUGACAGUACUGUGUAGAUAAUGUAACACAAUAUGAACACUAUGAUAAUGUAGAACCGUUUUCACAACUAUCUACAGUAUGUAGCUCAGGCAAACCCCAUUAUUAAGGCCAUCUCUAUUUCUUUAAUAUUGGAAUUUGAUGAGAAAAGAAGGCACUCCAUGCAGUAGCAGUGCUUUAGCAAAUAGGGUUUAUUACGAGUGCUAUGUUCCCCUCCCCCAUCUCCCCUCAUACUGCUGUCCUCCUCCUCUUCCCCCAUCUUCUCCUCUGCCUCUUUGAGAAGGGCUGAAAGGUUGGCAUUAGAACAAAGGCAGAACGGAAUGUCAACAGGCUUCAUACAGAAACAGGUAGACAGAGAGAGAGACAGAGAGCGCGAGAGAGAAAACACAGGGAUGAGAAAAGGACAGUGCAAAAUAAACCUCUCACCUCUACACCCCUUGUCACUUUUCAUAUCUUCCACUAGAGUUCCAACUACAGCUCCCAAUAAGUAUGAGUAGUAGAGUGUGGUAUUUACAUGUUGAGUGCAUACUGUAUAAAUGUGGAUGUGCAGAGCGGGAAUAAAAAUGUUAGGUGGGUGCAUAUGUGGAAUGGGAUUUUUUCCCUCAUAAUUU
This 1412-nucleotide long non-coding RNA is filed under the name Salmo salar (Atlantic salmon). Its description in RNAcentral is "lncRNA (ENSSSAG00000119108.1)". The record is from RNAcentral. Lineage: Eukaryota; Metazoa; Chordata; Actinopteri; Salmoniformes; Salmonidae.